This is a small nucleolar RNA of Hyla sarda, 142 nucleotides long. RefSeq annotates it as small nucleolar RNA SNORA79. The transcript has a single exon. The record is from RefSeq and is a predicted model, not a curated record. Lineage: Eukaryota; Metazoa; Chordata; Amphibia; Anura; Hylidae.
CGACAGCUGUUCCUCUCUGAGCCCCAAGUUAUGGACUCAGGGAUUUUAGGCUGUCGUAGAUAAAUGUUGCCUUUUUCACUCAGUGUGUAAUGGUGGGUUGGCUGCCUCUUUACACUUCUGAAUUUUGCGGGGUAAGACAAUC